UCGUAGUUAUGCGUGAAUGUUGAUUCUUCCGCAGUGACACUUAUCGAAGCCGUUGUGACCCCGCGAGAAACCUCACGACUCUAAACAAAGAUGGUUUGCACAAGUAAUCUUCCAGAUUGCAACAUAAUCGAAAUGCGGGGAUCUCCUAAAGCCACUCAAGUACUCACUUGGCGUAGAAAUACGCAAGGGCCUAUGCUAACACCAUGGGGUACAGUAAUAAUCUUGAUGGAUGUGACAAUGGACAAUCCGCAGCGAACCUCUAAGGGCGUGACGCCUACGAGGUGCGUCCACAGACUAAGUGGUUAUGGGCCAGCAGCCUCCUAGCUGUGUGCUUAAGAUAUAGUCGGGCCUUGACGGAAACGUCAGGGAGUAAGUCACUGUAUGAUUUACUGGCAGUUGAAAGACUGAGCCAUUUAACCGUUCCGUAGGUGAACUGCGGAAGGAUCAUUA
Molecule: ribosomal RNA, 450 nt
Filed under: Mycopappus alni
Lineage: Eukaryota; Fungi; Ascomycota; Leotiomycetes; Helotiales; Sclerotiniaceae
Description: partial 18S rRNA
Rfam family: Group I catalytic intron (bases 71-367)
About the family: Group I catalytic introns are large self-splicing ribozymes.
Source: RNAcentral